GACGAACGCUGGCGGCGUGCUUAACACAUGCAAGUCGAACGGAAAGGCCCUGCUUUUGUGGGGUGCUCGAGUGGCGAACGGGUGAGUAACACGUGAGUAACCUGCCCUUGACUUUGGGAUAACUUCAGGAAACUGGGGCUAAUACCGGAUAGGAGCUCCUGCUGCAUGGUGGGGGUUGGAAAGUUUCGGCGGUUGGGGAUGGACUCGCGGCUUAUCAGCUUGUUGGUGGGGUAGUGGCUUACCAAGGCUUUGACGGGUAGCCGGCCUGAGAGGGUGACCGGCCACAUUGGGACUGAGAUACGGCCCAGACUCCUACGGGAGGCAGCAGUGAGGAAUAUUGCACAAUGGGCGGAAGCCUGAUGCAGCAACGCCGCGUGCGGGAUGACGGCCUUCGGGUUGUAAACCGCUUUCGCCUGUGACGAAGCGUGAGUGACGGUAAUAGGUAAAGAAGCACCGGCUAACUACGUG
Molecule: ribosomal RNA, 468 nt
Filed under: uncultured bacterium
Lineage: Bacteria
Description: partial 16S ribosomal RNA
Rfam family: Bacterial small subunit ribosomal RNA
Source: RNAcentral